Molecule: ribosomal RNA, 2760 nt
Filed under: Triticum aestivum (bread wheat)
Lineage: Eukaryota; Viridiplantae; Streptophyta; Magnoliopsida; Poales; Poaceae
Description: partial small subunit ribosomal RNA
Source: RNAcentral
AUGGAGAUUGCCAUGGGGGCUAUCGGCCCUCUCCUCCCGAAGCUCGCCGAGCUGCUCGUCGGCGAGCUCACCAUGGAGAAACAAGUGAGGAAAGGCAUCGUGUCUCUCGUAACAGAGCUGAAAUUGAUGCAUGUUGUCCUUAGCAAGGUGUCAAAAGUGCCUGCGGACCAGCUUGACGAGGGGGUCAAGAUCUGGGCAGGAAAUGUCAAGGAGUUGUCCUACCAAAUGGAGGACAUCGUUGAUGCUUUCAUGGUGCGUGUGGGGAAUGAUGGCGAGUCCACCAACCCGAGGAACAGAGUCAAGAAGAUACUCAAGAAGGUCAAAAGAUUAUUCAAGAAUGGCAAGGAUCUCCAUCGGAUCUCUGAUGCUCUAGAUGAAGUGGUUCUUCAAGCUAAGCAGUUGGCCGAGCUGCGUCAAAGGUACGAGCAAGAGAUGCGGGACACUAGUGCUCAUACUAGUGUUGACCCUCGCAUGAUGGCCUUGUACACAGAUGUGACAGAGCUCGUCGGCAUUGAAGAAACACGAGACAAGUUGAUCAACAUGUUGAUUGAAGAUGAUGAUUGGUCGAAGUAUCCGUUGAAGACGAUCUCUAUUGUUGGAUUUGGUGGGUUAGGCAAGACAACUCUUGCCAAAGCAGCAUACGACAAGAUCAAAGUGCAAUUUGAUUGUGGUGCUUUUGUCUCGGUUUCGCAAAACCCUGAAAUGAAAAAGGUUUUGAAGGAUAUUCUCUAUGGACUUGACAAGGUCAAGUACGAAAACAUACACAAUGCAGCGAGGGACGAAAAGUAUCUCAUUGAAGAUAUAAUUGAAUUCCUUAAUGAAAAGAGGUACCUCAUCGUAGUCGAUGAUAUAUGGAAUGAAAAAGCAUGGGAGUUAAUUAAGUGUGCUUUCUCCAAGAAGAGCCCCGGAAGCCGACUAAUCACGACAACCCGCAAUGUUAGUGUCUCUACAGCAUGUUGCUCUUUUGAGGGUGAUAUUUAUAGAAUGGAACCCCUUUCUGAUGAUGUAUCAAGAAGACUCUUCUGUAAAAGAGUCUUUUCACAAGAAGAAGGCUGCCCUCGAGAAUUGUUGCAAGUAUCCGAAGAAAUUUUGAAGAAAUGUGGUGGUAUACCGUUAGCUAUUAUUACUAUAGCAAGUCUUCUAGCUAAUAAGGGUCAGAUAAAAGCAAAGGAUGAAUGGUAUGCUUUGCUCAGUUCCAUUGGUCAUGGACUCACAGAAGAUCGCAGUUUGGAGCAGAUGAAAAAGAUAUUAUUAUUCAGCUACUAUGAUCUACCUUCAUAUCUAAAACCUUGUCUAUUAUAUCUUAGCAUCUUCCCAGAAGAUCAUGCGAUUGUGAGAGGUAGACUGAUAUGGAGAUGGAUAUCCGAAGGUCUUGUUUACAGUGAUAAACAAGAAACUAGCUUAUAUGAGCUCGGUAAUAGUUACUUCACUGAGCUAGUAAAUAGAAGUAUGGUCCAGCCAAUAGGCAUUGAUGUUGAAGGAAAUGUAGAAGGUUGCCGUGUACAUGACAUGGUGCUUGACCUUAUAUGCUCAUUAUCAAGUGAAGAAAACUUUGUCACAAUACUAGAUGACACCAGAAGAAAAAUACCUAACUCAGAGAUCAAGGUUCGCAGAUUGUCCAUUCAAAAUACCAAGAUAGAUGUGGAUACCACUAGGAUGGAACAUAUGAGAUCUCUUACCAUUUUCACAAGUGAUGUUGUUGGGAAAGUGUUGGAUAUUUCAAGUUUUCAAGUUCUGCGCGUGUUGGAUUUAGAAGGUUGUAAAAAUGUCUCAGAUGUUGGGUAUGUCGGGAAUCUGUUACAUUUGAGGUACUUGGGGCUAAAAGAUACUCAUGUUAAGGACCUUCCCAUGGAAAUAGGGAAGCUGCAGUUUUUGCUUACCUUGGACUUAAGAGGUUCUAAUAUAAAAGUACUGCCAUCGAGUGUUGUUCAACUAAGACGUCUAAUGUGCCUGUAUGUUGAUUAUGAUAUGAAGCUGUCAUCUGGGAUAGGUAACCUGACAUCCCUAGAAGUGCUAGAUGACCUGGGGUUAUCUGACGUGGACCUUGAUUUUGUGAAAGAAUUGGGCCGUCUGACCAAGCUCAGGGUGCUCCGGCUUGACUGCGAUGAUUUUGAUGAGAGCCUGGGUAAAGCUUUGGAGGAAUCCAUUUGUAAUAUACACAAACUGGACAGUCUAGAUGUAUAUGUCUCUGAUGGACUCAUCAAUUGCCUGAGCGAAGAUUGGGUGCCUCCUCCACAACUCCGUAGAUUGGCUUUCCCGGCAAUUCAAAGUUGGUUCGAGACAUUGCCGUCAUGGAUUAAUCCUUCAUCCCUUCCUCUCCUCUCCUAUCUGGAGAUAACGUUGUUUGAAGUGCGACCGGAGGUCAUCCAAUUUCUAGGGACUCUACCUGCUCUUGUUUAUCUCGAGAUACUGGAUCAUUCUGUGUUCCAAGAAGCGCAUGAGGUGGAAGCGCCCGUCCUUUCCUCUAAUGUUGCAUUAUUCCCAUGUGCGACAGAGUGCCGCUUCUAUGGUAUUGGUGCCGUGCCAUCUAUGUUUCCACGAGGAGCUGCGCCGAGGCUUAAACAGCUUAGGUUCGCUUUACCAGCGAAGUGGGUCUCCCGUGAAAACAUUGAUUUGGGCAUGAGGCACCUUCCUUCCCUCCAGCGAGUCACUGUUACAGUUUCCCAAGGAGAAGCUAACGAUCAGGAGGUGGAUGAAGCAAAGGCUGCUGUGAGGGCCGCGGUGGAAGACCACCCCAACCGUCCCGUCCUCGAGAUUUAA